UACGUAGGGGGCAAGCGUUGUCCGGAAUUAUUGGGCGUAAAGCGCGCGCAGGCGGCUAUUUAAGUCUGGUGUUUAAACCUUGGGCUCAACCUGAGGUCGCACUGGAAACUGGGUGGCUUGAGUACAGAAGAGGAAAGUGGAAUUCCACGUGUAGCGGUGAAAUGCGUAGAUAUGUGGAGGAACACCAGUGGCGAAGGCGACUUUCUGGGCUGUAACUGACGCUGAGGCGCGAAAGCGUGGGGAGCAAACAGG
Molecule: ribosomal RNA, 252 nt
Filed under: uncultured bacterium
Lineage: Bacteria
Also listed under: 1 other name
Description: partial 16S ribosomal RNA
Rfam family: Bacterial small subunit ribosomal RNA
Source: RNAcentral